This is a small nucleolar RNA of Mesocricetus auratus (golden hamster), 130 nucleotides long. The record is from Ensembl. NCBI's taxonomy places the organism in Eukaryota, Metazoa, Chordata, Mammalia, Rodentia, Cricetidae.
UUUCCCAUUUGUUUGCUGCUCUGGUCUCUCAGUGAUGGGAGCAGUUAUACGCGUGGGAUAAAAUAACAUUGGGCCAUUGUAAAUCGAGAUGAAGUGUGUGUUUUGUCUCUUCUGCAUGGUCUAGACAUUG